ACAAGACACCACAGGACUCUUCAGGGACUUACUGUAUGGAUGUACACUCAGCAACAUUAGUGGGAACACUGAAUAAUGUCUUGGUAGAUGAGAAUUCUGUUGAUAUUUUCUACUGGACUACAGACCUGUAGAUUUGUUUCUAUUCGUAUUGACUGUACAUGUGUUUAUUCCAGGUGUAACUCUGUUUCUAUUGGUAUUGACUGUACAUGUGUUUAUUCCAGGUGGAACUCUGUGUUUCUAUUGGUAUUGACUGUACAUGUGUUUAUUCCAGGUGUAACUCUGUUUCUAUUGGUAUUGACUGUACAUGUGUUUAUUCCAGGUGUAACUCUGUUUCUAUUGGUAUUGACUGUACAUGUGUUUAUUCCAGGUGUAACUCUGUGUUUCUAUUGGUAUUGACUGUACAUGUGUUUAUUCCAGGUGGAACUCUGUGUUUCUAUUGGUAUUGACUGUACAUGUGUUUAUUCCAGGUGUAACUCUGUGUUUCUAUUGGUAUUGACUGUACAUGUGUUUAUUCCAGGUGUAACUCUGUGUUUCUAUUGGUAUUGACUGUACAUGUGUUUAUUCCAGGUGGAACUCUGUGUUUCUAUUGGUAUUGACUGUACAUGUGUUUAUUCCAGGUGGAACUCUGUGUUUCUAUUGGUAUUGACUGUACAUGUGUUUAUUCCAGGUGUAACUCUGUGUUUCUAUUGGUAUUGACUGUACAUGUGUUUAUUCCAGGUGGAACUCUGUUUUGUGUCGCACUGCUUUGCUUUAUCUUGGCCAGGUCGCAGUUGUAAUUAAGAACCUGUUCUCAACUGGUCUACCUGGUUAAAUAAAGGUGACAUAAAUAGUGGUACAGAC
Long non-coding RNA from Oncorhynchus keta (chum salmon), 840 nucleotides. RefSeq lists it as uncharacterized. The transcript is spliced from 4 exons. The record is from RefSeq and is a predicted model, not a curated record. NCBI's taxonomy places the organism in Eukaryota, Metazoa, Chordata, Actinopteri, Salmoniformes, Salmonidae.